CCAAAACCCCUCAGCGGAAAAAUGGCCAAAAAACGGGUGGGCUAUAGCCUUGGUGGGGGGCGCGGGCGAAGUUCGUCCGCCGGACUCGGAAUGGGGCGAGACUUUUCGCGGGGCCUCGGGGCGCCAAAAAUAAGCCGCUGGCAAAGCCGCGCCCAAAAAUAAGCGCCCAAAGGUCGUGGUGCCAAAACCCCCCAGCGGAAAAAUGGCCAAAAAACGGGUGGGCUAUAGCCUUGGUGGGCGGCGCGGGCGAAGUUCGUCCGCCGGACUCGGAAUGGGGCGAGACUUUGCGAGGGGCCUCGGGGUGCCCGCGGGAAGUCGCGAGCACAGCCGCGUCCAAAAAUAAGCGCCCGAAGGUCGUGGUGCCAAAACCCCCCAGCGGAAAAAUGGCCAAAAAACGGGUGGGCUAUAGCCUUGGUGGGGGGCGCGGGCGAAGUUCGUCCGCCGGACUCGGAACGGGGCGAGACUUUGCGAGGGGCCUCGGGGUGCCAAAAAUAAGCCGCGGGCAAAGCCGCGCCCAAAAAUAAGCGCCCGAAGGUCGUGGUGCCAAAACCCCCCAGCGGAAAAAUGGCCAAAAAACGGGUGGGCUAUAGCCUUGGUGGGGGGCGCGGGCGAAGUUCGUCCGCCGGACUCGGAAUGGGGCGAGACUUUGCGCAGGGGCUCGGGGCGCCCAAAAUAAGCCGCGGGCAAAGCCGCGCCCAAAAAUAAUCGCCCGAAGGUCGUGGUGCCAAAACCCCCCAGCGGAAAAAUGGCCAAAAAACGGGUGGGCUAUAGCCAUGGUGGGGGGCGCGGGCGAAUUCGUCCGCCGGACUCGGAAUGGGGCGAGACUUUGCGAGGGGCCUCGGGGUGCCAAAAAUAAGCCGCGGGCAAAGCCGCGCCCAAAAAUAAUCGCCCAAAGGUCGUGGUGCCAAAACCCCCCAGCGGAAAAAUGGCCAAAAAAUGGGUGGGCUAUAGCCUUGGUGGGGGGCGCGGGCGAAGUUCGUCCCCCGGACUCGGAAUGGGGCGAGACUUUGCGCGGGGCCUCGGGGUGCCAAAAAUAAGUCGCGGGCAAAGCCGCGCCCAAAAAUAAGCGCCCGAAGGUCGUGGUGCCAAAACCCCCCAGCGGAAAAAUGGCCAAAAAACGGGUGGGCUACAGCCUUGGUGGGGGGCGCGGGCGAAGUUCGUCCGCCGGACUCGGAAUGCGGCGAGACUUUGCGAGGGGCCUCGGGGCACCAAAAAUAAGCCGCGGGCAAAGCCGCGCCCAAAAAUAAGUGCCCGAAGGUCGUGGUGCCAAAACCCCCCAGCGGAAAAAUGGCCAAAAAACGGGUGGGCUAUAGCCUUGGUGGGGGGCGCGGGCGAAGUUCGUCCGCCGGACUCGGAAUGGGGCGAGACAUUGCGAGGGGCCUCGGGGCGCCAAAAAUAAGCCGCGGGCAAAGCCGCGCCCAAAAAUAAGGGCCCGAAGGUCGUGGUGCCAAAACCCCCCAGCGGAAAAAUGGCCAAAAAACGGGUGGGCUAUAGCCUUGGUGGGGGGCGCGGGCGAAGUUCGUCCUCCGGACUCGGAAUGGGGCGAGACUUUGCGCGGGGCCUCGGGGCACCAAAAAUAAGCCGCGGGCAAAGCCGCGCCCAAAAAUAAGCGCCCGAAGGUCGUGGUGCCAAAACCCCCCAGCGGAAAAAUGGCCAAAAAACGGGUGGGCUAUAGCCUUGGUGGGGGGCGCGGGCGAAGUUCGUCCGCCGGACUCGGAAUGGGGUGAGACUUUGCGAGGGGCCUCGAGGUGCCCGCGGGAAGUCGCGGGCACAGCCGCGUCCAGAAAUAAGCGCCCGAAGGUCGUGGUGCCAAAACCCCCCAGCGGAAAAAUGGCCAAAAAACGGGUGGCCUAUAGCCUUGGUGGGGGGCGCGGGCGAAGUUCGUCCGCCGGACUCGGAAUGGGGCGAGACUUUGCGAGGGGCCUCGGGGUGCCAAAAAUAUGCCGCGGGCAAAGCCGCACCCAAAAUAAUCGCCCAAAGGUCGUGGUGCCAAACCCCCCAGCGGAAAAAUGGCCAAAAAACGG
Molecule: long non-coding RNA, 2024 nt
Filed under: Citrus x clementina
Lineage: Eukaryota; Viridiplantae; Streptophyta; Magnoliopsida; Sapindales; Rutaceae
Description: Citrus clementina (C. clementina) long non-coding RNA (CCLE_LNC006162)
Source: RNAcentral